CACAGAAACAGCCACAGAAAUCAGAUGUGCAAUCAUUGAUCCGUACCUUAAAUUAAAACUUAACUUACUGGGAAUGAAUGACAUCAAUAGAAAUAGGCCAUUUUGGCAUUUACUACUUUCUAGUAUUAAACAAGAUGAAAAAGUGAAGAGCUAGAUCUGGCUUACUAUAUGCCGAAAGGGGAGAAGGACGAAUAUAACAUUACAGCUGGUACCAUAUGGUAAAAAUAAUUCCUUAAGAUGGUCCAUUUGCUUUCAAUUUAACAGUUAAUAAAAUACUUUUGUUUGAUUUUCCCCAUUUAGAUCUGUAGUAGUUUAGAUCCCCAUAUGUGAGGAAACUUCCAUUCUAUUAUUUUUCAGAAAUAGUGUCUUUAAAUAUUUCUCUUCCCACUUUCCUAAUUUGUAUUUUUAGAUAUUUUGAAUUUUCUCCCUUCAUCUCUAACUAUGACACUGAGACAGGGACCUGUGCCAUGCCAAGAAGUAAAUGAGUCAUUGCUGUUCACCACUCACAUAAAGUUAUUAAAGGUGUGAGAUAUCAAUGACUGAUGAUCUUGUCAAAUGAUGUAUCCUCUUUUUAUAUAUCUAACAUGAAGUCUUACCAUAACUUCAAGGUUCAGGUUCAAAAAGAAACAAUAAUUUAAGACUUCUGGGUUGCUAUUUUUAAGCUUAGAUGUCCAUUGACAAGACUUAUAUUCAAAGACCUUCUUUAAGACUACUAUAAUCUGCUUUGGUAUGUUUCUUGGAUAUAUUAAUAAAACCUGUUCUAGCACAAAGACAUUGAAAAAUUCACCAGUUUCAGUGUUGAUGUAGAAAGCUACAAUAAUUUGGCUCUGAUCAUGUUGCAGUAAUUGGUCAGAAAGAAGAAUUCUUUCAUCUGAAGUACUGCACAGGGCCUAUCCUUAGUCUGGGAUCCUGAACUGCACAUUGUUAAAGGCAGGAUACCAGAAUCCAUGGAAUAAGGUUGCUGCUGUAUUUGGAGACACAGCUGAAGAGCUUUUCCUCAAACUUUGCUGAAUAUAAUAAACAUGGAAAUACACUAGACAAGAGUAAACAGUUUAUGCUCUGUAGCACCUGGAGAGAACUGAGGUUGUAGGGAAAAAACUCAUUCAGAAUCCUAGAAACUCCAACUGACUUGAAUGUAUGGGAAGCUGUCAGGGUUAAAAUGCUAUAGUAACUGUGAAUUUCUGUCACUCUACACCAGAUGAGGUAAAUAUCCCACAAGAGGAAGCUGAUCUAAAUGAUAAAUUGUGAAAAUAGUAACAAUUUGAAAAAAUUAAUGAAAGAUCCAAAGAAGUGAAGCUCUUGGAUUAGGCCUGAUGAGUAAGCAGGAGCUGAAUCACAUGUUAAUUCAGAAACAUUCUGAAAUGCAGACCCUUGGCACUGAAACUCUGAAAAGCCAAUGAAAGAUAAGGCAAAGGCUAUUCAGGUGGAGUAACUAACAGGGUAAGUUAACGCUUAGGAAAAUGAGAGCAAGAAGAAGGUUUAGGGUCACUAUGUCGAAAGACUAAAUAUUUUCUACCAGUUAAAAAUUUUCAGUCAGUAAACAAAGAAACCAAUGCAGCUAAAACAACAACAACAACAACAACAACAACAACAACAACAACAACAACAACUGACAGGUGUGAUAUUGCAUUCUUCAGAACUGGGGUUUAUUUUUAAGAGGAAAAUAGAAGAAAUCAUAAACAUUGGCAAGAUAAAUAUAAAGGAAGGCCAAUACGAAGUGCAUAAUUUACCAAAGGUAUUAAAAAACUAAUAAUAGAAACUUGUCAAACAUCAAAAGUAGGACACAUGCCAGAGAAUCAGUGAGCCUGACAAAUUAUCUAUGUGCAAAACCUAAUGCUGAUGCCAAGGCUUCACUGUUCAUUGCAGAGAAGUUUAUGGGGUUUCCCAUACACACUGUCCUUUACAGAGGAAGAGUCUGAAGAUUUAUGUCAAAUUGAAGUGUUGAUACAAGGACUUUUGUGCCUAGACAAAAAUGCAAGCUGCACAAUAAUUGUUAAUCAGGACCAUGUGGUAUUUACCUAAAUGGUCCAGAGGAGCUCACUGUGAAGGCUACAACUGAGCUGUGGUGCAUGAUAUAUUGCUUAAAUCAGCUCAUGCAUGAGAAAAAUACAAGGUGAUAAAUACAAUAGAAAAUUUAAAAAUAACAGAGUUAGUGCACAUAUGGAUAAUUACAAUGUAUUUAGGAAAGACUUGAAGAGGAGAGUAAAGUCUUCUAGAGGUAAAGUCUUAUCUUAUAAAUCUAUUUCAGUUCUUUGAUCCAGUAAAUGAACUUGUAAUUAACAUUGAUUCAAUUGAUGCAGUGAUUUUUUUCAGCAAGCAUUUGACAUCUUUCAACAGAAAUGCUUAAAGGAACUAAGCUAUCGUGGGAGUGGUCACAUAGAUUAAUUUUUUAGAAAAUAAAGGGUAGGAAUAAAUAGUUGGCUUGUUCAUUUGAAGGAGGUUACCAAUAAGGUCCAUGUGAGGAGCUAUACUGACUCAAGCAGUUCAUUAAAUGAAUUGGGAAGGGACUGAAGAGUAAGGUGAUUAAGUUAGUAACAGUACAAAAUUAUUCAGGCUAAAACUAAAGCAUCGAGUGUUGUAGAGUUGUAGCAGGGUCUCAUGAUACUAAGUGACUUGCUUCAGAGAAAAUAAAUAGGGAACAAUUAACUGUAAGAAUUUAUUUGCAACUAAUUAAGUUAUGAGACAAGCAGUUCAAAGCAAACAAAAUUAAAUAUGUUUUCUGCAACUAAUUAAAAUGGGAAACUCAUUGUCACAGGAUGCUUUAGAGCCCAAAAUUACUUUUAUAAAAUAAUUAAGACAGAUUCAUGGAAAAACAGCUGAUGCAACAUGGCUAAACACAGCAAUGUAGAUUCAGCCUGUGACUUAAGGAGCCUCUAAACAAAUUAGUACUGGAAUCAGGGAGGUAAACCAAUGGGAAGGUCAUUCUGUAAUUGCACUAUUCUUACAUUCUUCCCUUAAGCAUCCACUUCCACCUGAAUUAACAGAUAAAUGAAUAAAGAGUUUUGAGCACUGAAACCUAAGAAUUGGGAAUAUUCUAUUUGAUUUAGUUGUUUUGUGUUUUUUAAUCUCACCCAGAUGUUUAUAUUUGUCAUAUCUUGUAGGUUUGGGACAAGGACAUCUAUGUUUAGAGAGCAGUUAGUGCAAUUAGGCCCAACAGCAUUUAAAUUCUAGCUCUGAACUUCCAGGUGUUAUUAUAAUAUGAAUAUUGAACUGACUUUCACAGGAAAGACUUGGUGUAUUACCAAAACAAACAAACAAAAACCUCUGUUGAAGAAAAUUGAAUUACAAUGUUAAGCACUUCAGAGUUCAGAAAGAUGUAAUUUAAAGCUCUCCAAGCAAGAUUUAACCUUUGCUGUCCUAGCCUGGAAAAGCUAUAUACAAGUAGAAAUAACUACAGAGGAGAAGCAAUCCAGUGUAGGUGCCAUGUUUAACUUGAUCACUUUAUGUAUUCAUUUAUGGUUUUAUACACACAUUCCACUCAUAUACACACAGAAAGUCAUAAAACCUAAUGCUGCAACUGGGCCCUUCAUUUUACAGUUUCAGUAUGAGUAAUGGAAAAAUGCUAAAUGAAAUAAAACUGAAAUGAGAAAUCUGUGAAUCAGAAGUGUAAAAUAAAAGGGAAGAAGGCGAAGCUUGAGGGAAUAGAAGUGAUAUGUUUUCUGCUGGUUAGCAAAGAAUUUGCAUUAUUGGUGAGACAAACUUAGGUAAUUAUUUUCAAUAAUGGAAGUGCAUUUGGGACAUCUGGCUUGGAUACAAGUGUUCCAGCACUGAACAAGAUCCUGUAUUGAGUAACUUGUUGCAGUAUUUUCUUCAUGAUCAAAUAUAAACAAAAUAUGAAAAAAAAUUUAUACAAUAAAAAAAAGCAAGCAUUUAAACAUGCAUAUGCAUAUAUUUUGGAUGUGAAGAAUGAAGCCUGGGAAGUUUAGUUCCUGAAAAAAUGAAGAGGAGUUUCCAUAUUGGUGAUUUGCCAGAGAAAGCAAAAUCCAGAGCAGCAUUAUGUCAGAGAAGCAAAACACAAAAAUUGAGUGGUGUGGAAAGAACAGAUAGCCCAAGUACUCUGUUUCUCUCUGGUAUCUUUCUUCAUUGCAAACUUCAUAUUUUAAACUUCAAUCUCUUUGCAUCAGGGCUGUCUAGUUACUAAAUGCCACUUUUGGGAUGCUGUUCACCUUAUUUCUACUACAGUUGUCCUCAACCCACCUCGGUACAGAUGGCAUGAUCUGCUAAGGGUAUUUAAAUUAACACCAUCUGAAGUGGAGACCUGUUGGGGAAGAUGACACAAGAAAGCCUUAACAAUAUGAUUGCCUGGCAAAAGAUUUAGGAAAUACAGAGAUUGAAAUGGUAACAAGUUUUGAGAUACCAAACCUUAGUUACUGCACAAGUAGAAAACAAUAGUAUAGCCAGGAUGAAGAAAAUCCCCCCUUCUGGUUGAACAAUGCCCUUACCUACAGAUAGGUCCAAAAGUCAAAUGGACUGUUCUCUCUCACCCCCAAAAUGUAUGGUUCAUCCCACACCUGUAACCCUCCCCUGAAACAUCAAGUGCAUGUGACCCCAUCGGCCUAAGUCUUGUUCCAGCCCACCUUGAAGCCCCCGAUAAGGGGUCCCUGAGGAGCCAGACGCUCUCUUGGAACUUUCCACCCUCUCCUGGAUCAUCCUCUUAUCUCCCUCUAUGCCUUGCCUCUCCCUUCCCCCACUCCCUAGGGCCUGCCACGUGUCACGUCUGGCGACCCCAAGCAGGGCCUUUCACCCUUUAUAAUAAACCAUAUAUUCUAAGAGCAGCCUUCAGAGAUCUCUCGUCUCCAUCCAUCCAAACCGUCCUGGAGUCCAGCAUCCCCACAGAGACUAGUACCUGAAAGUCUUUAUUCUUGAAGAUUGUUUUUCUUGUGGAGUCAAAAGUGCUGAACAGAUUUUGGUAUAAGAGCUGGGCUGUGCAUACAGCCUGGGUGUCCACCUGUGGGGUCUAGAAAAGUCCUGUGGAAUGUGGUCAGCUUCAUUUGAAACACUGUUUCCAUUUUUGACCUAUUCAGGAGUGAGUUGCAGGACACUGUGCUGGACAAGUUGGGAUAUUUCUUACAUUCCCAUUGGGAGGCAUCAUUUUAUCAUUGACUAACACCAGAGAAGGUACCAAGGACCAUGAGUAAUCUUCUCCCAGCCUCAGCAUCACUCAUAUGAGAAUAAGGGUGUCUGUAGUUAUGCCAGUGAGGCUAAAAGAAGAGGCUCACCAGUUGUCAUGCUUCUGGGCAUAAGCUGAGGUCAGAAAGGCUUGGCUUUCUGCUGUGUUGCAGUGUUGGCCUGUAUUGUGAGUAAAAAGCACCUAAGAUAGACUGAUUCCAGUUUGCUUACCAGAUGAUAUCACAAAAACUAUCAGAAAGUUACAUCUUCAGGGAAACAUUGCUCUUCUUUGAGAUCAUGAUUCAUGCUGCUUCCAGAUACCUGUACUGUCUCUUGCUGCAUCAAAAGAAAAUCAUCUCUCUAUUCAUAGGGGUGAAAGGAAAGCAGGGUGUUGCAUCAUUGCAAGUCCCUUACUAUGUGUACAGAUCUAUGUGUUCAAGUGUAAAUGAGCUAAGGUUUCCUGUUUGCUCCCAAGUAGUCUGUCAGCAAAUCCCCAGUCAUGGUGACUCAUGAAAGCAGACAAGCACAUUGUGCUGCCCUAACCACUGAUUUUUGGCCCCCAGACCAUGCAGAGCAGGCUCCAGGCACGCAAGGACAGAUGUAUUUGUUCAGGGACCAUCACCUGCUUCCAGGCUCCAUACACCCCUGAG
RNAcentral lists this long non-coding RNA (5759 nucleotides) under Taeniopygia guttata (zebra finch). RNAcentral's name for it is "lncRNA (ENSTGUG00000024867.1)". Lineage: Eukaryota; Metazoa; Chordata; Aves; Passeriformes; Estrildidae. The record is from RNAcentral.